Molecule: ribosomal RNA, 475 nt
Filed under: Centruroides tecomanus
Lineage: Eukaryota; Metazoa; Arthropoda; Arachnida; Scorpiones; Buthidae
Description: partial 16S ribosomal RNA
Rfam family: Bacterial large subunit ribosomal RNA
Source: RNAcentral
AUUUUUUAGAAAUAAAUAAAAAUGAAUUCUGCUCAAUGUAAUAUAAAUAGCCGCAGUAUUUUGACUGUGCAAAGGUAGCAUAAUAAUUAGUCUUGUAAUUUAAGACUGGAAUGAAAGGAUAAACUGGAGAGUUUCUUUCUUGACUUUUUUCUUUAAAUUUUACUUUUUAGUAAAAAGGCUAAAAUAUGUCUUUUAGACAAGAAGACCCUAUAAAGCUUUACAUAUAAUAAUUUAAUAAAUUAAAAAUAUGUUUCACUGGGGCGGUGAGAAGACUAACACUUCUAAAACAUUAAAAUAAUAUUAUUUUAAUACCCAAAAUUUUUGAACUUUAAAUAAGUUACUUUAGGGAUAACAGCGUAAUAUAUUUUUAAAGCUCAAAUUGACAAAUAUGUUUGCGACCUCGAUGUUGGAUUAGAUUUCCUUUAUUCCGCAAGAGGAGUAAAAAGGGGGUCUGUUCGACCCAUAAAAGUCUCCA